UCGAGAAUAAUUCACAAUGGGGGAAACCCUGAUGGUGCAACGCCGCGUGGAGGAUGAAGGUCUUCGGAUUGUAAACUCCUGUCAUCGGGGAGUAAGACCUGGGCGUGAAUAGCGCACAGGGUUGAUAGUACCCGAAGAGGAAGGGACGGCUAACUUCGUGCCAGCAGCCGCGGUAAUACGAAGGUCCCAAGCGUUGUUCGGAAUCACUGGGCGUAAAGGGAGCGUAGGCGGCGUGGUAAGUCAGAUGUGAAAUCCCGGGGCUCAACCCCGGAACUGCAUCCGAUACUGCCGUGCUUGAGGGUUGGAGAGGUAGCUGGAAUUAUCGGUGUAGCAGUGAAAUGCGUGGAUAUCGAUAGGAACACUCGUGGCGAAGGCGAGCUACUGGACAACAUCUGACGCUGAGGCUCGAAGGCUAGGGGAGCAAAAGGG
RNAcentral lists this ribosomal RNA (429 nucleotides) under uncultured Luteolibacter sp. RNAcentral describes it as "bacterial SSU rRNA". It matches the Rfam family "Bacterial small subunit ribosomal RNA", at positions 355 to 776 of the family's 1533-position model. The record is from RNAcentral. Lineage: Bacteria; Pseudomonadati; Verrucomicrobiota; Verrucomicrobiia; Verrucomicrobiales; Verrucomicrobiaceae.